This 22-nucleotide non-coding RNA is filed under the name Arabidopsis thaliana (thale cress). Lineage: Eukaryota; Viridiplantae; Streptophyta; Magnoliopsida; Brassicales; Brassicaceae. The record is from RNAcentral.
CGGUUAAUAUUAUAAGUGAGCA